This 460-nucleotide ribosomal RNA is filed under the name uncultured bacterium. RNAcentral's name for it is "partial 16S ribosomal RNA". It matches the Rfam family "Bacterial small subunit ribosomal RNA", at positions 338 to 795 of the family's 1533-position model. The record is from RNAcentral.
CCUACGGGAGGCAGCAGUGAGGAAUAUUGGUCAAUGGCCGGAAGGCUGAACCAGCCAUGCCGCGUGAAGGUCAGUGCCCUAUGGGCGUUAAACUUCUUUUGUGCGGGAGCAAUAAUGGUCACGUGUGGCCAGACGAGAGUACCGUACGAAUAAGCAUCGGCUAACUCCGUGCCAGCAGCCGCGGUAAUACGGGGGAUGCAAGCGUUAUCCGGAGUUAUUGGGUUUAAAGGGUGCGUAGGCUGUGCGGUAAGUCAGCGGUGAAAUGCCCCCGCUCAACGGGGUGAAGUGCCAUUGAUACUGCCUGGCUGGAAUGCGGAUGCCGUGGGAGGAAUGUGUGGUGUAGCGGUGAAAUGCAUAGAUAUCACACAGAACACCGAUUGCGAAGGCAUCUCACGAAUCCGCGAUUGACGCUGAUGCACGAAAGCGUGGGUAUCAAACAGGAUUAGAUACCCCUGUAGUC